Molecule: ribosomal RNA, 412 nt
Filed under: uncultured bacterium
Lineage: Bacteria
Description: bacterial SSU rRNA
Rfam family: Bacterial small subunit ribosomal RNA
Source: RNAcentral
AACGAACGCUGGCGGCAUGCCUAACACAUGCAAGUCGAACGGGAUCCUAGCUUGCUAGGUGAGAGUGGCGGACGGGUGAGUAACACGUGGGAAUCUGCCUUUUGGUUCGGGAUAACCGCGGGAAACUGCGGCUAAUACCGAAUGCCCUCGAGAGAGGAAAGAUUUAUCGCCAGAAGAGGAGCCCGCGUCCGAUUAGGUAGUUGGUGGGGUAAAGGCCUACCAAGCCGACGAUCGGUAGCUGGUCUGAGAGGAUGAUCAGCCACACUGGGACUGAGAUACGGCCCAGACUCCUACGGGAGGCAGCAGUGGGGAAUAUUGGACAAUGGGGGCAACCCUGAUCCAGCAAUGCCGCGUGAGUGAUGAAGGCCUUAGGGUUGUAAAGCUCUUUGCCAGGAAGAUGAUGACUGUACCU